This 1068-nucleotide long non-coding RNA is filed under the name Lonchura striata (white-rumped munia). Its description in RNAcentral is "domestica (Bengalese finch) lncRNA (ENSLSDG00000012482.1)". Lineage: Eukaryota; Metazoa; Chordata; Aves; Passeriformes; Estrildidae. The record is from RNAcentral.
CAUUUUUGAGGUUCCCUUUUUUGGGUUCCCUUUUUUUGGAGUUCUAUUUUUGGCAUUUCCCAUUCUUGGAGUUCCAUUUUUGGGUUUCCCAUUUUUUGGGGCUCCCAUUUUAGGAUCCCAAUUUAGGACCCAGUUUUGGGGAGGGAUCCCCGAUUUUUGGGGUCAUUUUUGGGGUUUCCCAUUUUUUGGGUUCCCUUUUUUUGGGGUCAUUUUGGGGUCAUUUAGGGGUCAUUUUUGGGGUCAUUUUUAGGGUUCCCCUUUCUUUGGGGUCAUUUUUGGGGUUUCCCAUUUUUUGGGUUCCCUUUUUUUGGGGUCAUUUUUGGGGUCACUUUUGGGGUCAUUUUUGGGGUUUCCCAUUUUUGGGGUUUCCCAUUUUUGGGGUCAUUUUUGGGGUUCCCAUUUUUGGGGUUUCCCAUUUUUGGGGUCAUUUGGGGGUCAUUUUUGGGGUUCCCAUUUUUGGGGUUCCCCUUUCUUUGGGGUCAUUUUUGGGGUCAUUUUUGGGGUUUCCCAUUUUUGGGGUCAUUUUUGGGGUUUCUCAUUUUUGGGGUCAUUUUUGGGGUUCCCAUUUUUGGGGUUUUCCAUUUUUGGGGUCAUUUUUGGGGUCAUUUUUGGGGUUCCCAUUUUUGGGGUCAUUUUUGGGGUUUCCCAUUUUUGGGGUUUCCCAUUUUUUGGGGUUUCCCAUUUUUGGGGUUUCCCAUUUUUGGGGUCAUUUUUGGGGUUCCCAUUUUUGGGGUUUCCCAUUUUUGGGGUCAUUUUUGGGGUUCCCAUUUUUGGGGUUUCCCAUUUUUGGGGUAAUUUUUGGGGUUUCCCCCAAAUUUUGGGCUUGGAGCCGCGUCGGGCUCCGCGCGCAUGCGCGGGGCAGAGCUAACAGAUGACGUCACCCAUGGCGGAGAGGGCGUGGCUUCGCAAUGACGUCACCACAAUCCUCCCCCGCGUGCCAUCCCCGUGACGUCAUUCACUGAGCAGCGUGGGCGUGGCCUCGGCGCGAAGGGGGCGUGGCUUCCCCGAAGGGGGCGUGGCCUCCCCGCCCGCAGGUGUGGGCGUGGCCCGGCUCAGGUGCGGGGGGCG